Molecule: long non-coding RNA, 280 nt
Filed under: Fukomys damarensis (Damara mole-rat)
Lineage: Eukaryota; Metazoa; Chordata; Mammalia; Rodentia; Bathyergidae
Description: lncRNA (ENSFDAG00000023105.1)
Source: RNAcentral
GGAAAGAUCGGAUAGCCUCAAGCCAGUUUAUCUUACCUGGAAGCCUGGGUGUGUCUGUAUUUUGAAGCCUCUUACAGUGCUGACUUCCAAGUGGUGCUGUACAGGCCGCCCAAGAGAGUGGUAGGAGAACAAGCACUUCGUGACUUCAGUACCGGAUCGGAACUUCAGCCUCAGCUCGCAUAUACUCAGUCACAUGACCACAGAAGGAUCAUUUUAGUUUUUGCAUUUCUACUUUGUUAUGUGGAAAACUAUAAGAAUUGGACUCAAUUCUCUCUCCAGC